UGGCGAGACAAGCGUAAUACUGCCUCUGUCUGCUUUCUGUGAUGGGUAUUGCGUAAUACUGCCUCUGCCCAAGGGAUAUCGCGUAAUACUGCCUCUGUCCCUGGAUCACAUCGUGGGUAUCGCGUAAUACUGCCUCUGCCCGCAAGGUAAAGUAAAUGUUGUGUGAUGGGUAUUGCGUAAUACAGCCUCUGCCCAAGGGAUAUCGCGUAAUACUGCCUCUGUCCCUGGAUCACAUAGUGGGUAUCGCGUAAUACUGCCUCUGCCCGUAAGGUAAAGUAAAUUUUGUGUGAUGGGUAUUGCGUAAUACAGCCUCUGCCCAAGGGAUAU
RNAcentral lists this unclassified non-coding RNA (327 nucleotides) under Melitaea cinxia (Glanville fritillary). Its description in RNAcentral is "misc RNA ENSMCXG00005014540.1". The record is from RNAcentral. Lineage: Eukaryota; Metazoa; Arthropoda; Insecta; Lepidoptera; Nymphalidae.